Molecule: non-coding RNA, 24 nt
Filed under: Mus musculus (house mouse)
Lineage: Eukaryota; Metazoa; Chordata; Mammalia; Rodentia; Muridae
Also listed under: 2 other names
Source: RNAcentral
GUGGAACCUGCGGAAGGAUCAUUA